GAUGAACGCUGGCGGCGUGCCUAAUACAUGCAAGUCGAGCGAACAGACGAGGAGCUUGCUCCUCUGACGUUAGCGGCGGACGGGUGAGUAACACGUGGAUAACCUACCUAUAAGACUGGGAUAACUUCGGGAAACCGGAGCUAAUACCGGAUAAUAUAUUGAACCGCAUGGUUCAAUAGUGAAAGACGGUUUUGCUGUCACUUAUAGAUGGAUCCGCGCCGCAUUAGCUAGUUGGUAAGGUAACGGCUUACCAAGGCAACGAUGCGUAGCCGACCUGAGAGGGUGAUCGGCCACACUGGAACUGAGACACAGUCCAGACUCCUACGGGAGGCAGCAGUAGGGAAUCUUCCGCAAUGGGCGAAAGCCUGACGGAGCAACGCCGCGUGAGUGAUGAAGGUCUUCGGAUCGUAAAACUCUGUUAUUAGGGAAGAACAAAUGUGUAAGUAACUAUGCACGUCUUGACGGUACCUAAUCAGAAAGCCACGGCUAACUACGUGCCAGCAGCCGCGGUAAUACGUAGGUGGCAAGCGUUAUCCGGAAUUAUUGGGCGUAAAGCGCGCGUAGGCGGUUUUUUAAGUCUGAUGUGAAAGCCCACGGCUCAACCGUGAGGGUCAUUGGAAACUGGAAAACUUGAGUGCAGAAGAGGAAAGUGGAAUUCCAUGUGUAGCGGUGAAAUGCGCAGAGAUAUGGAGAACACCAGUGGCGAAGGCGACUUUCUGGUCUGUAACUGACGCUGAUGUGCGAAAGCGUGGGGAUCAAACAGG
This 764-nucleotide ribosomal RNA is filed under the name Staphylococcus epidermidis. RNAcentral's name for it is "bacterial SSU rRNA". It matches the Rfam family "Bacterial small subunit ribosomal RNA", at positions 28 to 776 of the family's 1533-position model. Lineage: Bacteria; Bacillati; Bacillota; Bacilli; Caryophanales; Staphylococcaceae. The record is from RNAcentral.